GAGGAUCCGUUGUUCCAACCCAGGGAGAAAAUGCGGCCUUUGACUGAAGAAGAGACCCGUGUCAUGUUUGAGAAGAUCGCGAAAUACAUCGGGGAGAAUCUUCAGCUGCUGGUGGACCAGCCCGAUGGCACCUACUGUUUCCAUCUGCACAACGACCGGGUGUACUAUGUGAGUGAAAAGAUUAUGAAGUUGGCCGCUAAUAUCUCUGGGGACAAGCUGGUGUCGCUGGGGUCCUGCUUUGGAAAAGUCACUAAGACCCACAAGUUUUGGUUGCACGUCACAGCCCUGGAUUACCUUGCACCUUAUGCCAAGUAUAAAGUGUGGAUAAAGCCUGGUGCAGAGCAGUCGUUCCUGUGUGGGAACCAUGUGUUGAAAUGUGGUCUGGGUCGAACCACUGAAAAUACUUCUCAGUACCAGAGCGUGGUGGUGUACUCCAUGGCAGACAUCCCUUUGCAUUUUGGGGUGGCAGCAAAAUCUACACAAGACUGCAGAUUGUGGUAUUUCAUCAGGCAGACUUUGGGGAAUAUGUGCGGCAUGAAGAGACGUUGACUUAAAACGAAGUCAUUGCAAGGACAGGCGGCUGUAUGUAAGGGCCAGCUUUGUUUCCUGUGUUUGUGUGGACUCCACCAUCAUGUUGAAUUUUGUCAACACUCUGACCUCUUCAGGGACUUCUUAUUUACUGUACUCUCUAUCAUUGACAAAUGCAGGCUGGAUUCUUAUUGUAUACAGAGAUGGCUCAAAAAUGGGGUUUCAGAUCUUUGUGUUUGUGAUGAAAUAGAAUACUCUGUUUCAUAUUUGAAUCAGAGGGCUUCUUGUUCUGAGAAAUAGGUUCAAAAUCACUGGAACUAGGAACAAGAAUAGCUUAUUGUUAUCUGUGAUAACACUUUUUUUUCUAAACUCAUGAUAAGAACACAGGGAUUGUCUUUUUUAUUAAUAUGCAAGUUAGUCAUUUCCAUAACAGAAUAAUAAACCACAUGUGGGGUUUUAAAAAUGAAAUUUGUCUAAAAUAAUAAGAGCAAUUCAGCUAUUUUUCUAUACAGUAAUUGGUGUGUGGUAUGGAAGAAAAACAGAUUCAAACCCCACUUCUGCCAUCUACCAGCUAUAUGGCCUUGAGUGAGUCAUUCAGCUUUAAUAAAGUUCACUUUCUUCUCUUUAAAAAGACACGAAACU
This is an RNA transcript of Mandrillus leucophaeus (drill), 1170 nucleotides long. It is a transcript of the gene named 60S ribosome subunit biogenesis protein NIP7 homolog pseudogene, with no coding region annotated. The transcript has a single exon. NCBI's taxonomy places the organism in Eukaryota, Metazoa, Chordata, Mammalia, Primates, Cercopithecidae. The record is from RefSeq and is a predicted model, not a curated record.